CUACUGAAUCAAUUAAAAAAUUGAUAACAUAAGGGAAAAUAAUGAUAUUACCUUAUUAUUAGUGUCGUCCAAAACUGGUGCCAGAAGACUCGGUAAGGCCAGAGACAUAAACGUUAAUCGUCUUAAUCAGGCGUAAAGGGUUUGUAGGCGGCUUUUAAUUUUACUUAUAUAUCCAUUUUUUUUUUUUCGUUAUUUUAAAUUAAAAUUUAUAAGUACAGAAUAAAAGCUAGAAUCAAAUAUAGGAUAUAUUAAAUAAUGCUUAAAGUAGGUCUGAUAUCCAUAGAUAUUAAGUAGAAUAUUAAAGGCGAAGGCUUUUUUCCAUUAAUGAUUGACGCUCAGAAACGAAGGUGAGGAUAGGAAAUAGGAUUAGAUACCCCAAAUACCCCUCUCUGUCAACGAUGAAUGGUAGUUAUUAGUAAUAAAUUAAUUAAUGACAAUGUUAACACAAUAACCAUUCCGCCUUGUGAGUACAACUGCAAAGUUGAAAACAAAAAAAUUAGUCGGUUCGA
This 509-nucleotide ribosomal RNA is filed under the name Russula sp. RNAcentral's name for it is "partial small subunit ribosomal RNA". It matches the Rfam family "Bacterial small subunit ribosomal RNA", at positions 430 to 924 of the family's 1533-position model. The record is from RNAcentral. Lineage: Eukaryota; Fungi; Basidiomycota; Agaricomycetes; Russulales; Russulaceae.